Long non-coding RNA from Thamnophis elegans (Western terrestrial garter snake), 605 nucleotides. RefSeq lists it as uncharacterized. The transcript has 3 exons. The record is from RefSeq and is a predicted model, not a curated record. Lineage: Eukaryota; Metazoa; Chordata; Lepidosauria; Squamata; Natricidae.
GAGGGUGAGGAAUAACAGCAUAACUGAGUUGGAAGGGACCUUGGAGAUCUUCUAGUCCAACCCCUGCUCAAGCAGCGCCACUCCGUGAUGAACUCAGGCCCAAUGGAUUGGUAUGUUCUGGAUCAUACACAAGACACGGAGAUUCUAUCCAGCCGGAUCAGCAAAUUCUCUGUCUCGGCCGAGAGACCCAUUGUGUCAACCUUAAUUUUACCAUGAAUACAUUUGGAGCUAUUGAAGAAAGGGGUAUGCUCCGAGGAUGCGCAACCCCAAACGUAUGUUCCUAUCCUGUUGGAGAGACAAGAUUGGCGAAUGGCCUUGUAACGUUCAACAUCACAAAGGAGUGUAACACUAUUCCACUAUCACUUGAUCGUGCUUUUCUUCUCAAGUAGUCAGAACAUAGCCUUCUCCCUUUGUCUUUCAGGGUAUAUAAAAGUGAGAAGGAGAUUGGAGCUUCAGAAGUAAGAUGUAACAGGGGUUUGGGGUUAAGUAUUCUUGAGAGCUUGAUAGUAAUUUAAAAUAUGGAGGAGGAGCAGACCUGAGAGGGUUGAAAUGCUGUGUUUGGGCCUACUAGCUGACAUGAAUGUGGUUUUUCUCUAAACAUUCCG